CCCUAUCAUAGAAGUAGGAGUGGACAAGAGUGUUUCCCUUUAUCUGGUUCCAGUGGACCAGUACUUUAUCACCUUGUUUAAAACUGCAGGAUGGUGAGACCACCACAUGCUUGGAAGGACAGUGGAGUUGGAAGUCAGAUUGUUACCCAUCACCAUCCUGACAAUAAACAGUGCAAUGAGUGCAGUGGAUGAAGAGCUGAGGGUUAUCAUCCUCAGAGCUUUGCCAACCAUUUUUAAAGACAUCCAACAGGAAUUAAUAGACAAGAUAAAAAGCUGUGCAUUAGAAUCCACUGAAGACCUGAAAUACGUUACAAAGGAAGAUAUUGUCGACAUACUGCCUGCCAUUCAACUCCGGAAGCUGCUGGAAGCAUUUAAAAAUGGUAAUGCUGAAGUAAAUGUUAAUACAUCUGUGUUGCAAUAUACUGUAAAUUCUUAAAUAGUGGCCUGACCUGUUUUUUUUCUAACUGGUCAACCCACCCUUACUUUAAGUUUAAUAGAGGGUUUUGUAGUUUUCUUUAGAAAAGACGACCAAUGAGAAUUUAAACAAUAUUUUUUAUCAAAAAGAGAAACAUGGUUACAAAUAAUUCCAAACUAAAAUGUUUAUGUUUAAAGCAGGCUCGGCCAGAAGUGUUUUUCUCUGGUUACACCCUGUUUCAUUGACUCACACCAAUCUGACAAGAUGGCAUGCAUUUUUCUCUAAACGUAACAAAGUAAUUGUAAACUUUGGAUUGAUGUCAUCUUUUUGUGUGGUACUGUGGGUGCAUUUGUGUUUGUGAGUGAGUGCUAGAAUGUCACCAGAUGUGUUUUGUAUGGUUUCAGGCCACUUGUGACACACUUUUCUUCCUUUGUAUCUGAGUCCUAAUAACAACGUUUUUGGAAUCCAGGAUUUGUUCUGCUGUCAUACACUUUCUUCUCCAUAAUGUGUUGAAUCACCGCACAGAGCCAACAACCUUAUGUUAGCAGCUCCAGAUUUUUAAUAAAGGUGGCAGUCACUUGA
This is a long non-coding RNA of Labrus bergylta (ballan wrasse), 997 nucleotides long. RefSeq lists it as uncharacterized. Lineage: Eukaryota; Metazoa; Chordata; Actinopteri; Labriformes; Labridae. The record is from RefSeq and is a predicted model, not a curated record.